Molecule: long non-coding RNA, 796 nt
Organism: Andrographis paniculata
Lineage: Eukaryota; Viridiplantae; Streptophyta; Magnoliopsida; Lamiales; Acanthaceae
Exons: 3
Source: RefSeq, a predicted model, not a curated record
CACAGGGGCAUUUGGUGGAGAGGUUCAUACAUACUCAUCCUGCUUGGAGGUGCAAACUGAGUUGUCGGAGAAGUCAUAUUACCAACCUUUGAAGGAAAAUACAAACACAAGGACUCUCAAACGAGCGACAAGUGUGAUCAGGGAUUGUCCCGAACUUUUCGGAGGGGCUUAUUAGGAAGUGCCAGCACAACAGGGGAAGCUUUGGAAGCUAGAGCUACAGAAAGGAAAUCGCACGGUAAAGUCGUGGAGAUUGUGUGCUCGCUAGCUUGGUCACGAUAGUGGAAUAGUGAUGCUGAUUCAGAGACAGUAAAAGAUGAAUUGCAGUCCAACUUUUCCUGCAAGAAACAUCGAGGUUGCGCCAAUGCUCGUAUGCAUUGUGGUUUUGCACAAAGACAUUGAUAACUACAAAUGGUAUGGAUCAUUAAGUUAAUUAUAUCUCUCCAAAGUGUUUUAUGCAUUCUCCUUUCACUAAGCUCUUUCUUUCUUGUUGUCUUUGUUUUUUUUAAAUAUCCUUUUUGUCUCGGAUCAUUAGAUGUGUAAAUAGAGUCUUAAUUCACUUAUGACUCUUCCAAAUGAAGAAAGCCAAAGAAAAGCAGUGGCCCUAAGCUUUUACCUGCCCAAUUAUCUUAGCUUUUGUGCAAAAAGUAAAAUCCGAAAGCAAGAAUUAUCUCCACUAAAAAUAUGGGAACUCUCUGAGGCCACAAAAAAACAAAAACUGAUCAAAUAAAAAUAAUAGAGAAAUGUAGAGUUAAAAAGUGUUGUUGUAAGGUUGAAUCUAAACCAAGAUUCUGCGUAU